GGUUCCACAGUGUAGCAGCUAGCAUGUCUGCUUUAUAUGCAGAAGGUCCUAGGUUCACACCCUAGUGGAGCCA
Molecule: transfer RNA, 73 nt
Filed under: Pteropus alecto (black flying fox)
Lineage: Eukaryota; Metazoa; Chordata; Mammalia; Chiroptera; Pteropodidae
Also listed under: 1 other name
Rfam family: tRNA
About the family: Transfer RNA (tRNA) molecules are approximately 80 nucleotides in length. Their secondary structure includes four short double-helical elements and three loops (D, anti-codon, and T loops). Further hydrogen bonds mediate the characteristic L-shaped molecular structure. tRNAs have two regions of fundamental functional importance: the anti-codon, which is responsible for specific mRNA codon recognition, and the 3' end, to which the tRNAs corresponding amino acid is attached (by aminoacyl-tRNA synthetases). tRNAs cope with the degeneracy of the genetic code in two manners: having more than one tRNA (with a specific anti-codon) for a particular amino acid; and 'wobble' base-pairing, i.e. permitting non-standard base-pairing at the 3rd anti-codon position.
Source: Rfam by way of RNAcentral